GUCAUCUCUUCAUAUCUCUCUAUCAAGUAGAAUUGGUUUUGGUGAAAGAGCAAUCUGAACCUUCUUUUUUAAUAUAAUUAUGAUGAGCACAGUGGGAAUAUGUGCAGAAAGAAAAUCAUCCAAGGCUAACUGGAUGGUUCAUGUGACUGUGAGAGGUUCUGUACACCAAGAAGGUACCUCUGAGAAAACCUGGGCUUCAGUCAGGAAAAGUUUCCUGAGAAUGGGACUGAAGCAUCUGGGUGUAUGCUGCCGUUGUUAUGAGCAAAUCCGAACUAUGGACCUGAUACAUCCUCGCAGCAGUCAUGGGAAGCUGGCUUGUAAUCUCCCCAUUCCUUGCAUGCUGUUUGUCACCAGAGGUAAAGCUGAGGUUUCUGUAGUGUGUACAAUCAACAGUCAGACACAGAUGAGAGCUCUUGAGUAUUUAGCCUAUUUAAAUAUCCCACGACAUUUCUUUCCUGAACUGUGUCAAUGAAAAGUCAACAUCCAAUAUUUCUUCACCCUGCUGAAAACUGCUGGUGUUUGCCAAGCCCUCUGCAUCAUCCUGGCUGAAGUCUCCAAGAGAAAUCGAUGUGUUUCAAUGCCACAGUGCAGGGGCACCUGGAGAGCAUUGCUGCUGCAGGAUGGGAUUGUACAAUGUCCUCUCUGCAGCAGCACUUGGGAGAUGCUGUUGCACUGUUUCAGUUCUGGUUUAGCAGUAGAUUAAAAAACCUAAAUAUUGACUGCACUGAACAUGUAAAUAUAUCUUAGACCUCUGUGAAGGUCAUUGGUAGACACUGAGUUCAGAUUGUGGUCUAGCCUACAUCCUAACUGGAAACAUGGCAUGCAUUUCCACCCCAUCCCCUCUUUUCUUCUUUUUGAUGGAUUAUCUCCUACCAUUCAUAGUGCUUUUCUUUUCCUGGGUUCUGGCCUUACCCCUCUGCCUUUGCACAGGAAGCUCCAUCUUGCCAAGGAGAAGCUCACCACUGCUGUGUCUAAAAUCAUUGAGUCCUUACCUGAUCCAGUGGCCAGGGAAGAUUCUUAUCACUGCCUUCUGGCAGCUCAGGAUACCAGAGUUCUUGUCCUGACAUAACCCAUCUGUCAGCAGGGGUCACAGGGUGCUGCUUGAGUUCAGAAAAUGAGUUUAGGGAAAGAAUUCAAAUAAGCACUUUUGUAUGCUGCCUCUUCAAUUAGCAGAGGAAAAAAAAGCUGUUUUUGUAGGAGCGCUGUGGUAUGCUGCUACCUUCUGAACACCUUCUGGAAAAGCCGGUCUCUCUCCAUGGAUUGUCAAGGACUAGAAAGUAAAAACAAGGGUUUUACAGAGAAGCUGUAUUUGUCUAAAGAGGGAAAGUUAAGAUCAGCACUAGAAACACAAUGUACUUUCUUGUUGUGUAUCACUACAAACACCAGCUUUUGGUAAUGCCAUUAAAUUCUAUAGAUCUUUGGGUUGUUUGAUGAUACCCACACAGCUCUAAGUACUUUUUGCCUUUUCUUGGCAUUGCUUGUUGUUGUUGCAAGCAGUCACUGCUAGAUCUAAUCAAGUUUAAACAUCUGAAUCAUAAAAAUGUAAGGGCAGUAGUCUCAAGGAAAGGGAAUUUUAAUGUAAACUGAUGCUCAAAGAAAGGAGUAAUUGUCAUGUGGUUUUGCUUUUAUAUCUGAAAUAUAUGGCAAGCAACAGCAUGAGGAAGGUGUUUCCACAGGAGCAUCUCUUAAAAGUGUUGUCCUUAAAUUACUCCUGUGAGUCAGUAGAAGAGACAUGUUUAAGGAAAUUAUCAAAAUUGGAAAUGGCUUUGUACAUCUGUUUAUUUUGGGCUAUUUAAAAGCACAGUAAGUUUUGCAUUUAACUACAUUCUUCACAUGCUACUGUAAUAAUUGGCUAUACCCAUAUUUUUUUCCUUUCUUCCUUGCCUUCUUUGAACGUUUAACUUCUAAACUUUCAUUUAUUAUGACCUUUAUUUUGUUUCCCUAUAAAUGCUUGGGUUAAAAAACAAAAAUUAAAAUUUUUGUUGUGAAUUGCUAUUAUUAGGAUGCAGAAUUUUACACAUGGGUCCUCAGUAUCCUCAAAGACUGAUACACAUCUGAUAUGGGCAACCAUUUUCUGACUACAGGGUUAAUAAAAAAAUAAUUCUAGUUUUAUUGUUUCUUUUU
Molecule: long non-coding RNA, 2124 nt
Organism: Junco hyemalis (dark-eyed junco)
Lineage: Eukaryota; Metazoa; Chordata; Aves; Passeriformes; Passerellidae
Source: Ensembl